RNAcentral lists this ribosomal RNA (490 nucleotides) under uncultured bacterium. RNAcentral's name for it is "partial 16S ribosomal RNA". It matches the Rfam family "Bacterial small subunit ribosomal RNA", at positions 28 to 507 of the family's 1533-position model. The record is from RNAcentral.
GAUGAACGCUAGCUACAGGCUUAACACAUGCAAGUCGCGGGGCAGCAUGGGGGUUGCUUGCAAUCCCCGAUGGCGACCGGCGCACGGGUGAGUAACGCGUAUCCAACCUGCCCUUCACCACGGGAUAACCCGGCGAAAGUCGGACUAAUACCGUAUGUUGUCCAUUGACGGCAUCCGAUUUGGACGAAAGGUUUGGCGGUGAAGGAUGGGGAUGCGUCCGAUUAGCUGGACGGCGGGGUGACGGCCCACCGGGGCGACGAUCGGUAGGGGUUCUGAGAGGAAGGUCCCCCAAACUGGAACCGGGAACCCGUCCAGGAUCCUACGGGAGGGAGCAGUGAGGGAAAAUGGGCAAUGGGCGUAAGCCUGAACCAGCCAAGUAGCGUGCAGGAUGACGGCCCUAUGGGUUGUAAACUGCUUUUAUGCGGGGAUAAAGUGGCCCACGUGUGGGUUUUUGCAGGUACCGCAUGAAUAAGGACCGGCUAAUUCCAUG